ACAGUUACUGUUAUUGUUCGUUUUGGGGCUAAAAACUUGUAAGCAAAUUGGAAUUCAAGCUGCCUAUUGCCGGUGCCGACCGAACACUUCCGCCGUCAUUUUGAAGUGCCGCCGAGCCCUUGGAACAUAGACCAAUGACAACGGAAACGCCAAAGAAACCUGGGCCUCCUAAAAUAGUUACGCUGAAUAACUCAUCGAAAUUGGCUGAACAAUGGAUAAAUAAAAUGAAUGGAUCUGCACAUGAAAAGUAUUGGAAGUAGAACCAGAAGCUCGGCCAGAAAGGAUUGGACUCGAAGCAAAGGUUCCGCGCCAAUCGAAAGUUGGACUCUCUAAUGACCCUGUUGCAAGAAAACUAUCUGCCAAGUUGGGUGCUGGAAAAAGAAAAGCAUCCAAGAACCAGGACUCCACUACCCCUUCUGGUAGAGACCUGGUUGACGAAGAUGAUGGUGAUGAGGAUUUAGAUGGCAGAAGUAGUGCAUUUUCUAGGAAGAGAGCCGUUCCUCCAACUUCACAAUUACAGGUAAAGAAAAAACUGAAGUAACUUGUUGUCUUAAGUGGUUGAUUGUAGCAAAAUGCUA
This is a long non-coding RNA of Hibiscus syriacus, 578 nucleotides long. RefSeq lists it as uncharacterized. Lineage: Eukaryota; Viridiplantae; Streptophyta; Magnoliopsida; Malvales; Malvaceae. The transcript has 3 exons. The record is from RefSeq and is a predicted model, not a curated record.